RNAcentral lists this transfer RNA (74 nucleotides) under Myxococcaceae bacterium. Its description in RNAcentral is "tRNA-Gly". It matches the Rfam family "tRNA". Rfam says of the family: Transfer RNA (tRNA) molecules are approximately 80 nucleotides in length. Their secondary structure includes four short double-helical elements and three loops (D, anti-codon, and T loops). Further hydrogen bonds mediate the characteristic L-shaped molecular structure. tRNAs have two regions of fundamental functional importance: the anti-codon, which is responsible for specific mRNA codon recognition, and the 3' end, to which the tRNAs corresponding amino acid is attached (by aminoacyl-tRNA synthetases). tRNAs cope with the degeneracy of the genetic code in two manners: having more than one tRNA (with a specific anti-codon) for a particular amino acid; and 'wobble' base-pairing, i.e. permitting non-standard base-pairing at the 3rd anti-codon position. Lineage: Bacteria; Pseudomonadati; Myxococcota; Myxococcia; Myxococcales; Myxococcaceae. The record is from RNAcentral.
GCGAUCAUUGUCCAGCGGGAAGACGCCGGCUUGCCAGGCCGGAGACGCGGGUUCGAUUCCCGCUGAUCGCACCA